CUUGAUGGGGUAAGGCUCCCAGUAGACGACUGGGUUGAUAGGCCGGAUAUGGAAGCCAGGUGACUGGUGGAGUUGACCGGUACUAAUAGGCCGAGGGCUUGUCCUC
RNAcentral lists this ribosomal RNA (106 nucleotides) under Streptomyces wuyuanensis. Its description in RNAcentral is "23S rRNA. Bacterial LSU". It matches the Rfam family "Bacterial large subunit ribosomal RNA", at positions 2819 to 2925 of the family's 2925-position model. The record is from RNAcentral. RNAcentral also lists the same sequence under 1 other name. Lineage: Bacteria; Bacillati; Actinomycetota; Actinomycetes; Kitasatosporales; Streptomycetaceae.